GAGAGCCUUCUUGUCCCCAAGAAGUAUAAAAUUUUGGAAACUGAGCUUGAAUGAAGACUUUUCUUCCCAUGUAGCUUCAUCGUCAAGCAAAUUAAGCCACUUAAUGAGGCCUUGAAUCACAGGAAAAAUGUUUCUAAAAAUGGUUCUGGUCUUCAGUACUGCUUCUGGUGCCAUUGCAAUAGUAUUGUCUGCCUGUAAUUCUGGUAAUUCCAGAAUUGGA
This 220-nucleotide unclassified non-coding RNA is filed under the name Hevea brasiliensis (rubber tree). The record is from RNAcentral. Lineage: Eukaryota; Viridiplantae; Streptophyta; Magnoliopsida; Malpighiales; Euphorbiaceae.